RNAcentral lists this ribosomal RNA (498 nucleotides) under uncultured bacterium. RNAcentral describes it as "partial 16S ribosomal RNA". It matches the Rfam family "Bacterial small subunit ribosomal RNA", at positions 28 to 507 of the family's 1533-position model. The record is from RNAcentral.
GACGAACGCUGGCGGCGUGCCUAAUACAUGCAAGUCGAGCGGACGAAUCGAAAGCUUGCUUUUGAUUCGUUAGCGGCGGACGGGUGAGUAACACGUGGGCAACCUGCCCUGUAGACGGGGAUAACACCAAGAAAUCGGUGCUAAUACCGGAUAACACGAAAUGUCGCAUGACGUUUCGUUGAAAGACGGCGCAAGCUGUCGCUACAGGAUGGGCCCGCGGCGCAUUAGCUAGUUGGUGAGGUAACGGCUCACCAAGGCGACGAUGCGUAGCCGACCUGAGAGGGUGAUCGGCCACACUGGGACUGAGACACGGCCCAGACUCCUACGGGAGGCAGCAGUAAGGAAUCUUCCGCAAUGGACGAAAGUCUGACGGAGCAACGCCGCGUGAGCGAAGAAGGCCUUCGGGUCGUAAAGCUCUGUUGUUAGGGAAGAACAAGUAACGCAGUAACUGGCGUUACCGUGACGGUACCUAACGAGAAAGCCACGGCUAACUACGUG